CGGUCGUGCAGGUGGCGGGCGGCGACGCCGUGUUCUCGCCGCGGCUGGCCGGGUUCGUGCUCGACGCGUUCGGC
This 74-nucleotide transfer RNA is filed under the name Promicromonospora citrea. Its description in RNAcentral is "tRNA-Glu". The record is from RNAcentral. Lineage: Bacteria; Bacillati; Actinomycetota; Actinomycetes; Micrococcales; Promicromonosporaceae.